This 959-nucleotide long non-coding RNA is filed under the name Triticum aestivum (bread wheat). RNAcentral describes it as "long non-coding RNA (TAES_LNC012356)". The record is from RNAcentral. Lineage: Eukaryota; Viridiplantae; Streptophyta; Magnoliopsida; Poales; Poaceae.
UGGACACGUAAUGGAUCCUAAAGCACGAUUUAUGCGUCCCCCUGACCAAAACCUCCCACAUUAGGAUUGCUUGUUAAUGGUUGAUCAAGCUUGAUGGAUUCCCCCUCUGAAACAAGAAGUUCUGGUCCGGGAGGUAUAAUAUCAAUCACUUGGCGUCCNNNNNNNNNNAAUUAGGAAGAAAAAGGAUUCUUAUUUUGAUACAAGAAGAAUCGGCACAAGAAAAAGCCUUUUUCUUGUGCCGAAUAGACGAUUAAGAAGACCUGCAAUCCCUCCGAAAAGGAAGAAAUUUUAAUUUUAUUGUUCUCGCCUUUGCCUUGGAUUCUCUUCUUUUGCAUGGGAUAUAAAUAAGGAAUUCCAGACAUCUCAUAAACAAAAAGCAGUCUAAACAAAAAAAGGAUUUCCAAAAUAGAUCAUAGAUAAUUCUAGCAAUUGCCAAUAAAUCGAGGCUUUUUACCAACUUGAUGGUAAGAAAUCCCGGGACCUAGAAAUUCAUUUCGUACAAUUGAACCUUUUCAAACUGUUUCUUUUUGAGAACCAAAAAAACUUGUGCCAAAAUAACGGAUGCGAAGAAGAACAAAAGGCCUUGGACACGUAAUGGAUCCUGAAGCACGAUUUCUGCGUCCUGACCAAAACCUCCCACAUUAGGAUUGCUUGUUAAUGGUUGAUCAAGCUUGAUGGAUUCCCCCUCUGAAACAAGAAGUUCUGGUCCGGGAGGUAUAAUAUCAAUCACUUGGCGUCCAUCUGAUGCAUCAACUAUGGAUAUUUCAUACCCCCCCCUUUUCUUUACGUAGUAUUUUUCUUACUAUACCUGUUGACGUAGCAUUAUAGACUGUAUUGUUACUCUUGCUACCAUCAGGAUAGAUCUGUCCUCUUCCUCGGUUUCCCCCUACAUAUAUGGGAUAUUUUAAGAAAUGAGCAUCUUUCUUCGUAGCAGGAUCAGGGGAAAGAAUGGGAAAGAC